UGGGGAAUAUUGGACAAUGGGCGCAAGCCUGAUCCAGCCAUACCGCGUGGGUGAAGAAGGCCUUCGGGUUGUAAAGCCCUUUUGUUGGGAAAGAAAAGCAGCCGGUUAAUACCCGGUUGUUCUGACGGUACCCAAAGAAUAAGCACCGGCUAACUUCGUGCCAGCAGCCGCAGUAAUACGAAGGGUGCAAGCGUUACUCGGAAUUACUGGGCGUAAAGCGUGCGUAGGUGGUUGUGUAAGUCUGUCGUGAAAGCCCUGGGCUCAACCUGGGAAGUGCGAGGGAAACGGGGCGACUAGAGUGUGGCAGAGGAGAGUGGAAUUCCUGGUGUAGCAGUGAAAUGCGUAGAGAUCAGGAGGAGAAUCCGUGGCGAGGGCGACUGCCUGGGCCAACACUGACACUGAGGCACGAAAGCGUGGGGAGCGAACAGG
RNAcentral lists this ribosomal RNA (429 nucleotides) under bacterium. RNAcentral's name for it is "partial 16S ribosomal RNA". It matches the Rfam family "Bacterial small subunit ribosomal RNA", at positions 355 to 776 of the family's 1533-position model. The record is from RNAcentral.